AGUUGUACAGGGCGAGAAAAACCUUGCCGGCUAGGGAGAGCCAAUUUGGCUCGCUUUCGACGUCAAACUUCACUCGCGUGAAAAUAUUGUCUGCGGGCGACGCGGACUUCUCCGGAAUCGCUGAUAUUCUCUCCCCGAUCAGGAGACGAACUCAUUAGCAGCAGCUCAAUCCGGAGGCGAUCUCAUCCGCGUAGACUCCUAGAUUUGAUUUCUUCUUUAUCGUCAGCUCCUAACCUCUUCUUUCUGAGAUACAUGGUGUGCUGUCUUGUUCAAUCGCUCUGUCAGGAAGUUGGUAGAGUUAGAAAAGAGCGUCUUUGAGAUCGUUUGCUUUGUGCUAGAUGCAGCCUUUGCGUUGCCAAGAUCAUUUAUUAUGAUGGUACUUGAUUAAGGAAUUCUCUUGAUUUCUCAUUUGUGAAUCCUAAAAUAUUAUGGGCCAUUUUGGUUUGAUAUCAAAAUGUUGCCAUACCAAUUUUUUGGUAGUUUAAAUAGUAAAUGUGAUGAUUUGGUUUGAAGCCAAAUAUUUUGUAAUGACUAUAUUCAAUUUGGCACAAUUCUAGAAUGUUCUUC
RNAcentral lists this small RNA (567 nucleotides) under Oryza sativa Japonica Group (Japanese rice). Its description in RNAcentral is "misc RNA OJ1003_A09.19". The record is from RNAcentral. Lineage: Eukaryota; Viridiplantae; Streptophyta; Magnoliopsida; Poales; Poaceae.